Molecule: ribosomal RNA, 494 nt
Filed under: uncultured bacterium
Lineage: Bacteria
Description: partial 16S ribosomal RNA
Rfam family: Bacterial small subunit ribosomal RNA
Source: RNAcentral
GAUGAACGCUAGCGGGAGGCCUAACACGUGCAAGCCGAGCGGUAUUGUUUCUUCGGAAAUGAGAGAGCGGCGUACGGGUGCGUAACACGUGUGCAACCUGCCUUUAUCUGGGGGAUAGCCUUUCGAAAGGAAGAUUAAUACUCCAUAAUAUAUUGAACGGCAUCGUUUAAUAUUGAAAGCUCCGGCGGAUAGAGAUGGGCACGCGCAAGAUUAGCUAGUUGGUGAGGUAACGGCUCACCAAGGCGAUGAUCUUAGGGGGCCUGAGAGGGUGAUCCCCCACACUGGUACUGAGACACGGACCAGACUCCUACGGGAGGCAGCAGUGAGGAAUAUCGGUCAAUGGGUGCAAGCCUGAACCAGCCAUCCCGCGUGAAGGACGACCGCCCUAUGGGUUGUAAACUUCUUUUGUAUAGGGAUAAACCUACCCUCGUGAGGGUAGCUGAAGGUACUAUACGAAUAAGCACCGGCUAACUCCGUGCCAGCCGCCGCCGUAA